CAGUUGCCCAUCCUUCCCUCAGCCAUACUCUUGUACAUGAACCUACCCUCAACCAUACACCAGAUUUCCCAAACAUUGAAAAGUGAAUCUCACCUACAGGUAUAGGGUCGAAAUCUUUUGAACAAUCACAAGGACACUGGGGGCAGGAACCUUUCUCCUUCAAGCUCCAGUGCAAAGAUGGACGUAUACCCAACCAAACACACCGCCAUUAAACAAAAACCAACCUCACAGCAAAAGAAGACAAAACACAACUUCGGUUUGUUUGUUUCCAAAUUUGCAAAAUGUCCAAGAUCGUAUCAAAAACCCAUUUCAGGUCCGGGGUUACAAAACUCAGAAUAUCAAUUAAACUCAAAACUUGACUGCACUUGAAAAUAAAUUAAUAAUAUCCAAUCAAAAAUGCCCAUUUCAAGAUCUGGGACCUACAAUGAGAAUCUGACAAACUCAAUGACUGGUGUAUGGCUGAGGGAAGGAUAGGCGACGGGAGAGGGGUGGCUCAAAGGUGGGGUUGAGUAGGGAGGGAGGGUUGGCUGGGUAGGAGGUAGGAGAAGAGAGCAGAGAUUUGUUUUAAAAUUUUAAUGAUUUUAAUAUGAUUUAAAUGAGUCUGUAAAGUGAAAGGUCAAAAAAUAAUAAAAUACUAAAAACUCAUUUAACGAUGUGGUAUCGACAACUCAAC
This 673-nucleotide long non-coding RNA is filed under the name Prunus persica (peach). RNAcentral describes it as "long non-coding RNA (PPER_LNC008017)". Lineage: Eukaryota; Viridiplantae; Streptophyta; Magnoliopsida; Rosales; Rosaceae. The record is from RNAcentral.